RNAcentral lists this ribosomal RNA (504 nucleotides) under uncultured bacterium. Its description in RNAcentral is "partial 16S ribosomal RNA". It matches the Rfam family "Bacterial small subunit ribosomal RNA", at positions 30 to 523 of the family's 1533-position model. The record is from RNAcentral.
AUUGAACGCUGGCGGCACGCCUAACACAUGCAAGUCGAGCGGUAGCAUGAUCUGUAGCAAUACAGAUUGAUGACGAGCGGCGGACGGGUGAGGAACACGUAGGAACUUGCCCAAUAGAGGGGGAUAACUAAGGGAAACUUUAGCUAAUACCGCAUAUUCUCGAGAGAGGAAAGGUGCCCGCAAGGGUGGCGCUAUUGGAGAGGCCUGCGUCCGAUGAGCUAGUUGGUGAGGUAAAGGCUCACAAAGGCGAUGAUCGGUAACUGUUCUGAGAGGACGACCAGUCAAACUGGGACUGAGACACGGCCCAGACUCCUACGGGAGGCAGCAGUGGGGAAUCUUGGACAAUGGGGGCAACCCUGAUCCAGCGAUGCCGCGUGAGUGAAGAAGGCCUUCGGGUCGUAAAGCUCUUUAGGUUGGGAGGAAGGUUAGUAUUUUAAGAGAUAACUAAUUUGACUGUACCGACAGAAUAAGCACCGGCAAACUCUGUGCCAGCAGCCGCCGUAA